RNAcentral lists this ribosomal RNA (422 nucleotides) under uncultured bacterium. RNAcentral's name for it is "bacterial SSU rRNA". It matches the Rfam family "Bacterial small subunit ribosomal RNA", at positions 355 to 774 of the family's 1533-position model. The record is from RNAcentral.
UGAGGAAUAUUGGUCAAUGGGGGCAACCCUGAACCAGCCAAGUCGCGUGAAGGAUGAAGGUCUUAUGGAUUGUAAACUUCUUUUACACGGGAAUAAAGUGGGGGACGUGUCCCCCUUUGCAUGUACCGUGUGAAUAAGGAUCGGCUAACUCCGUGCCAGCAGCCGCGGUAAUACGGAGGAUCCGAGCGUUAUCCGGAUUUAUUGGGUUUAAAGGGUGCGCAGGCGGGAUGUUAAGUCGGCGGUGAAAUUUUGCAGCUCAACUGUAAAAGUGCCUUCGAUACUGGCCUCCUUGAGUGUGGAUGAAGUAGGCGGAAUUUGUGGUGUAGCGGUGAAAUGCUUAGAUAUCACGAGGAACUCCGAUUGCGCAGGCAGCUUACUAGGCCACAACUGACGCUCAUGCACGAAGGCGUGGGGAUCAAACA